Pantherophis guttatus is the source of this 931-nucleotide long non-coding RNA. RefSeq lists it as uncharacterized. The record is from RefSeq and is a predicted model, not a curated record. Lineage: Eukaryota; Metazoa; Chordata; Lepidosauria; Squamata; Colubridae.
AUUCCAAUAAUAUAAACCGGGUUGAAACAAAGCGAGGUGAGAGGAGUUCCGGUUGUGCAGGUUCGCAAGAGCCGGAGGGAAGGUUGGACUAUGCCCAAGAGAGGGCGCUGAGAAGAAUCCCCAUCCCAACAGGCUUCCAUCAAUUGCCAACAUUCUUCAUCAAAAAUGGGAAGACGUUCAGGGCGAACACCUAAAAGAGAAUAAAGAAUGUGGUAAUGUAAUGAAGACUAUUUUACUAAGAUUUGACUUCAUCACUAACAGUAAGUUUUUCAAGAUAAAUUCACCUGUGAAGAGUUCAGGAGCCAUAUGUAUAGGUGUCCCAACAAUACUUCCAGACAUCAUUGCUUCAGGUUUACAAAAUCCCAGUACCCUUCCAGGAUUUAUUUUCAGAUGAAACAGUAGACUGCAGAAAAAACGCAAUCUCCCCAAUCCUAUAGAAAGAAACCUAAGAGUAAAGUUUCAUUAAUAAGCACUCUAUAUUCAAAACUCAUCUGAAUGCUGUAUCCUGUCCUCAACUUAUGAAUGGUCGCUUAGCCACCAUUUGAACUACUGAUGGAUCUACCUGGGGACUCCUUUUACAUCAAACUGACCUGUCGCAAAGAAGCAGCAAAAGCUUCAUGAGAGCUAUUUAGUCUUGUUCGGAACUGGCUGCAGAUGCUCUUUGCCAAUCUGGACGCGCUAAGACUCUCAAUGGCAUCCUGAGCUAUCUUCCUUUUCCACUCCCUGGUGAUAGCAGCAUCCGUGAUACUGUUGAACCAGAGUGAAAAGUAACUUCUACGUGAUAGGCUGCAUUCAAUAUCUUCAAACAGAAAAUAGAUUAAUUAUAUAUCUGCAAAUUGAAAGAACUGUCCACUAUAUUUAAAGAACUGAGUAGCUUGGAAAGAGCUUCAUAAAUAAAUUCCAAUAAAUCAACUCUGUGCCAAAAAGCAAA